GUCAGGGUCUCAGAUAGAGACCAGAGAGGAGAGGAAGAAAAAGCUGCAAUGAAGAGGAGUUCUCCAUGAGGACAGAGAGUUACAGCAGAAGGCCAAGGCAAGACUGAAAUGGCAGUGUGAAAUGACCUGGGAAGAGAAUUUCAGCGAGGGCGUUAGGUCAGUUUGACCUGUGGGUGUGUCUUUGGAGAUUGUUUUUUAUUGUCCUCAUUGAUGCAGAAAGACGCAGCCCGCUGUCAUUGAUGCCAUUCCCUACAUUUGAGUCCUGAACCAUACCAGAGAGGAGAAGGUGGGCUGAAGCGUGAGCGUGCCUUCAGCUGCUUCUGAUUGCUCCCAGCUGUGUGCUGACCAGCUCUUCCUGGUUCCUUCCUUGCCUUCUCCACACUCACAGUGUGGCCUGGAACUGUGAGCUCAACAAAACUUUCCUGUGAAGCUGAUUUUGUCAAGGAGCGUACACUAAAGAUGCUUCUGCUGUCAGAAGUUGAGAAGAAACUCUGCCCUAACACCCAAGGCCAGGCCAAUGAUGCAGCGGUAUUAAUACACACACGGUAAAGAAGUUAAUAUGAAUUAGUAAAUACUGAAGAUGCAGAUUGAUAGACUCCAUCAAGACCUCCUUCUCAGGUUAGGGAGCAGCUGUGAGCGGAGUGCUUGCCUGGCAUGGAUGAGGCACUGGGUUCUAGCUCAAAUCUGGCAUGUAUGAAGCACUGGGUUCUAGCCCAAGCCUUGAGAAAAAAGAUCACCGUAGGAGAGCUACUUCUGGAUACCAUGACCUACUGUGGAGGCCGAGCCAUAACACGACUGAUCCAACUAUACCUAACUCUCCUGAGUACCACAAACUGUGUGUCUGAACUUUCUGUAAACUGAAGGUACAUAUGACAUUCUGUUUUGAAGAAAACAUUUAAUUCCUUCGUAGAGUUAGUUAUACACUUACUUCAAAGCAAAUCAUACAGUUGAGAUGACAAAUUGGGUAGUCAGCACUAGAGAAUUCCUUAAUUCACAGAGAACAGUUUAAAUGUCGGGUUCCCCAGAGCAGCUCUAGAAGGAUUCAAGUCCAUGUUGACCGUGUUGACCUGCUAAGCAACACAUCCCCGGAUUAUAGGUCUCUUUUCCCCCUUUGUCACUGCCCUUUCUCAUACCUCAUUUUACCUUUUCAAAUAUGCCAUUUCCACCUAAGUCUUUGUCUCAACCUAAGAAAAUAGUUCAACAGGAAACCCAUAUUUAACCACAAACCUUCAUAGUUUAUGGCCAGCCAGUAAAACUUGAAGCCUUUCAGAACAAAUUGCUUUCCCAUUGCAAAAUCCAAGAUUCCCGCUGUGCUCUGCUUUAUCGAUAAUUUACUAAAACUGGCAUAUAUAUCUUUACAUGGGCUGUUCACCCCUCAUAUAUAGCAAGGGUCCAGCCAAGUUCUGGUGCUGGUGUUUCAGGAAUCCAUUCCUAGCUCUGGCUAAAGCAGCUUUAAAGUUACCAAAGAGAAUAAUGUACAUUCCUAAUAUAUUAAACCAGUAAGCCCGGCCUCCAACUCUUUAAAAGAGGCAGAAAAAGGUGAAGAAAAAAGGAUAGCACAGUGGCCAACUCUUAGCAUCUUUGUUAGAGCCAGGAGCCCUCAUCAAUGGUAAGGCACUUCUCUCUCAGGCUUCUCUGAAGAGCCCACAACCAGGAGUCAGAAAUAGCCUCGACAGACAAUCUGAGAUUUGACUUGCAGUUAAUUUAACUUAAAUAAGCUAACAGCUUGACCUACUAUUCACAUUUAAAGUGUGCUUACUGCCCCCUUCCUGGCACAGGCACCAAUAGAUCCAGCAACUCUAGACAUUAAGGUAGAUAGAUCACCUGAGCACAAAAGUUCAAGGCCAGACUAGACAAAAUAGUAAGAGGGUCCCCUUAAAAUAAAGUUGAAAUACAACCCAAGGGUAAUAUCUGCUGUUAGGCACAAAAACAACUCAAUUUAAAUUUUUCAUAUUUUGAAGUAUUUGAGAGCAAUUGUGGCUUAUAUGAGAUUAAAAAAGUUGAGUGUGGAAGGUAUUUGCUUGCAUGUUCUAGUUUCCUUUCUGUUGCUGUGAAAUAGCAUUCUGUGUAAACACAACUCAGGAAAGGAAAUGUUUUCUUUCAGCUUACAAGUUACAAUCUAUCAUUGAAGAAAGUCAGGACAGGAACUCGCCACCCUUCCAGGCUUGUAUCCUAAGUAAGUAAGCAUUUACCAUCUGCACAAUGGCCUGGUUUUGAAGAGAAAGUCAUAUCAUCUUCCAGAAAACACUCUGUAGGCCAGAGCCAGGGCCAUCUUGAGAAGGAACCUAUGAUUCUAGUUUGGACAGCUCCAGGCACCAGAAACAUGUGUCCUUUUAUAUCUUCAAUUCCACAGAAACUUCACUGUCCUGGCUCUGUGGGUACCACCUCAUAAACCAGACUGGGCUCAGGAGAGUGAGCAGUACAGACACUGGGGUGCAUGAAAAAGCUAGAUGGAUACCUGUGAUCUUACGACCAAAGUAAAGAUUACAAUAAUAUGAGAUAGUGUCACACAUGCAUUGUGAAAUAACAGGACCACUAAAGAUUAUCUCUUUAGGUGGGUUAGGGGUAGAGGGAAGAGAAAAAGGAGGAUAUGGAGAUGAGUUCAUUGGGACUAAGCAUAUAUAAAGAAGCAUUAUAGAAACCCACCAGUUUGUAAGAUAACUACAAAUAAAGUUUAAAACUAGGAGUUGGCACAGAGGUAGCCUGCAAGGGUGGAAAAUGAUGCUCCCAGAAGAUAUGGAUUAUUAAAUGAAAAUCUCAAUGCCGGACAUGUUAUUCAAGGAUUCCCCAGAGGCACCCAGGACACUGCAGCUUACCGCUAUUGCUCUUAGAUGCCAAAUAUAACUACAUGGUAAGACUCUAUUACCGAAGACACCAUACGCUUUACCGGCAGGACAUGCAGAAAUCAGUCUGAAACUAAGCAGGAAACUCCCUGCUGUCUUUCUUUCAGGGGCAUUACACAGGCUGCUGGGGAGGAAACACAUCAGAAGCCUCACCCCGCACUGGACCCUCCAUGUUUCAGUACUCAUGUACCCACUGGUGAAGCAGCACAACUGCUGUGUGGGAACAAACUGCUUUCUGACUGCAUUUGAGGCACAGGAAGUAAUUCGUACCCGCUAGUGUAAUUCUGGUCAAAACUCCUGGCUGGAGAUCACAGUCCUCCGCCCGGAGUAACUUGUUUUACUAAACGGUUAGUGCUAUCAAACUACCCUCUAAUUAUUUAUGCUCACACCAACUGUGCUGCUCUCAGCUUUGGUCAAAGGACCCCCCCCCCCCGUGGGCAGCCGUUAAUGCAGUGACAUGUAACUGCUCACCGUGGCGAGCAUGAGUGGAUGAGAGUCCUCAGCCACAGGAGGUGUGUCAGUCCCCUCUCUGUUUCUGUGAUAAAAUACCACAAUCUAGACAACUCACAGAAGAGAGAGUUUAUUUGGCCUAUGGUUCUAGAGGGUUGUGAUUCAUGAUGGAAGAAUGGAAGAAUGGAGGCAGGAACAGAAAGCUGUGUGUUCACAGUAAGCAUGAAUCUGUCAGAGAACUAGAAAUGGCAAGAGGUUUUCUUUCAAGUCCCAAAGCCCUCCUUCAUUAUGUUCUCAAGGCCAAACCCCUAAACCUCCCAAACAGCACCAUUAACUGGAGACCAAGUAUUCAGAUGUCCAAGACGAUGGAGGACAUACAUUCAAACCACCAUAGAUGAGAUAUCUUUAUCAGCUCUGCUUCCUACUCCCUCCUUAACUCAUAGGAUGUCGUCGAUGAGGAGGUAGUCGAUGAGGAGGUAGUCGAUGAGGAGGUAGAAAGAGCAUAAGAGCAGGAAAUGGAAAGAGCGCUGUGAAAUGCUGUCUCUGGGCAUGACAACCAUAACACACAUGAGCACACAUCAGCUGUGUUUCCUUGCACAAGAUCAAGCCUGUUAAAGCUCCAGCAUGAAUGAUAGAAGGGCUCCUGGGCUCUCAACCCCCAGCUAGGAACUGUCGCCAGUUGAUGGCUACUUGGGGGAGGGAGAGUCACUCUUGUUUGCAGCUGUGACCACUGGUAGGCUGGUCAGGUUCAUGCAGAUGGCCUCACACCCCACACAGAUAGAGUCAGUGGGAGGUGGUGUGUGUAUGUGUGUGUGUGUGUGUGUGUGUGUGUGUGUGUGGUCAGUGUGUGUGUGUGUGUGUGUGUGGUGUGGUCAGUGUGUGUGUGUGUGUGUGUGUGUGUGUGUGUGUGUGGUGUGGUCUGUGUGUGUGUGUGGUCUGUGUUUUUUAAGGGAGGACAUGAAGUUGAGAGAAAAAUGUGCUGCAGGCACUAGAGAAUGUUGAAGGGGAAGGUGGGGAAGGAUAUAAUCAAGAAACAUUUCUGUAUAUGAAAUUUCCAAAGAUUAAAAAAUUAAAAAGGGCUGUUUUAUAAAAACGGUAGAUAUUCAGUCCACCUAACCACCAGAUGGUCAAAUCUGAGUACAUGAACGCCAGAAGCACAGAAAAACAAAGGGAAAAAAAACAAAAAACACCUUCCAAACACAUCUCUUGGAUUCCAAACAUAUUGAAGUGGGUGAAAUGUUAAUAGGGAAUUCAAAGAAUGAUUUUAAAAGGUCAUUGAGAUCCAAGAGAAUGGAAAUGAAUGUUAAGUGAAAUCAAGAAAUAAAUAAAAACUCCUGCAAAGAAAAAAUUUGAAAAUGAACCAACAAAAACAUCUUAGAAGUGAAAAUCUCAAUAUGUCAAAUUAAAAAAUUUAGCUAAAAGUCUCAAAAAUAGAUUAGCUCAAGGGGGAAAAUCCAGAACUUGAAGACAGAUUUUUCAAAAUACGACAUGUAGAGCCUGCCAUGAUGCUGGGCCACAGAGCUACAGCCUCUUAAUUGUCUACUCUAGUGUCAAAAGUGCGUGCUAGGAAGAAGACCACUUCUUGCGGAAGCUGCGCAGCCAGACACAGGGAUGAAACUAGAGCUGUAUCUCUCACCCUGCACAAAAAUCAACACACAAUGGAUCAAAAACCUGUACAGACACACGAAUCUUUGAAACUGCCAGAGGCAAAAAGGCAAAAGGCUGUAAGCCAGGACUUUCUGAAACGUAUUCCAAAAGCAGUCCUAGGAGUUGACAAAUAGGAUCGUAAGAACUUAAAAACUUUUGCACAUCAAUGUUUCCUUUAGUGGAAACAAUCACCAGAAUAAGAGGCAGUGUUGGGAAAAUAUACGGAAAUGCAAACAUAAAAAAGAAAGAAAAUCCCCUAGCAGGCUAAUCAACCGACUAAACAGUUCUCAAAAGAGAAAAUACAAAUGUCCAAUACAUAUCAGAAAAACUAAAAAUUAAGAUCCCUUUGAGAUUUUCUCUAAAUUUGGUCACAAUGGUAAGGAUGUGGCCAAAGGGGCAGCUCUGACACGCAGCUGGUGGGAGUGUAAACUGACAGUUACUACGGAGUUCAAUAACGACAUUCUCAAAAAACUGAAGAAAAAAAAAAGACCCAUACAUAGCUCCAUGGCAUAAAGAGCCCAGAAGUAGACCAUGUGUCUAGAGCCCACUGAUUCUCAACAUGAGAACAUUUUGAAGCACAAACAGCAGUAUAUAAAAAGUGGAUCAUAUUGGAUGCACACGCCUGAAAAGCUGACCUUUAUCUCCCAUCAUGUAUGCAAACCAACUCUAAAUGGAUCAAAGACCUUGACGUGGAACUCUAUCAGGGCAACAAAUCCACAUUAGUAGGACCGUUAUUUUCUCAAGAGGACUUCAGAAGCACAGAAUCAGAAGGAAACACUGACAAAUGGCAUUGUGUCAGAGAGAUCUGCAGGUGGCAAAGGAAGCAAUCGACAGAAUGAAAGGCAAAUGACUGAACAGGCACAUCGCAAGACAAACUGGACAGCCACCAGUUGCACGAAGCAAGUGCUCCAUCAGAUAAACCACCAGAAAGGUAAACUGGAAGUCAGAACUCUAGCAAGAGGGCGCCAGAGCCUGGGGAGAGUGAUCGUUAUCAAAACAAAACAAAAAACUGUAAUAAUGAUAACAAAUUCGUGCAUGAUGUGGAGAAAAAUAGCUCAUCCACCACUGGCAGUAACUUAAGUUAGCAUAAUCAUUGUAGAAAGCAAUGUGGAUGUUACUCAAAAACUAUAGAACUCAAUGUGCUACAGCUCCUCCGUGCCUGGGCACAUUCUUGCGAGGCCACGUCAUGCUAUAAAGAGAUACAUGUAGUCUCAUAGUUACUGAAAUGCUGUAUGCAGUGGCUAAGUACGGAUCUGGCCUACGUGCUUAUCAGUUGGUGAGCUGGCGAAGAACACGAGGGAUAGAAACAGUCAAAUGUUGUUCAGCCACAAGACAGCAAAUCUUGUCAUGAACUAGAUACAGCAUUGUGUAAAGCAAAACAAGGCAGACUUGGGAAGAGAAGCGGCACAUUUUCUUGCAUACAUGGAAACUUUAAAAAAAAUCACCUUGAAAAUGAUUGCUAAGUAUUCAGGCAAGUGCCAAGGGAGUGGGAGUACUGUGAUUCUAGCGAGGGCGGGGGAUCGUGAUCAAGUGAGCUCUGUGGGUGCGUAGAAAAACCACCACGAAUCCAGUUAAUUUGCACAGAGGAUGUUAGCACUUUUUUCUUUUCUCUUUAUACAAAUCAUGUGUAAAGAACCCUCUCCAAGUAGUUCAAACCAUCAUGUUUGGCUCUUAAUUGUUGAUUUUAGUCCUUUUCUUUGGAAAGUGACAUAUCUUUGGUAAAUGGCUCAAAGGAGGGCAGUUGAAGGGUGAAGAGAAGGUAAAUCCUUGUCUGUGCUCACCAUUCUGAAGGUGUGUUUAUAACUAAAACUCUUGCAAGUAAAUGAAAACUCUAAAAAGCUCGUGGCAUACUUAAAUUUCCCACAUAGCUAGCAGCCUGACUUCAUUUCCCUUGCAGUGAUGUGUUGCUUAGCCAACAGGUAAACACAAGUGGGUGGGUACUUUGCUCAGAAUGAUUUCAGGCUGCUCUAACAUCUUUAUCGGGUCACAUGUGCAGUAAAAGUUUGUUCAGAAUGAUUUCAGGCUGCUCUAACAUCUUUAUCAGGUCACAUGUAAAGGUUUGCUACGUUCAAAGUCCCUCGACAUGUACAAUGCCCUCAAGCUGCACGUGGCACAGGUGGCAGCCAACUGCGCUUUCCACCUCUGUAGCUUCUCGAGACUUGCAUCUAUCAGUGAUGGAAUUUCUCCCCUUACAUCAGAAAAGUCUUUCCAGUGUUGGCUUUCUAUUGUCAGCCUGCAGCAUUGUUUCCCAAAAGGCUUAACGACGAAGGGAUGAAGUAAGAUGAGCGCAUCAGCAGUCUUGGUCUCUGUGUUGGGACAUGUGCUGAAGAAACCUCUUUACCGUCAUUCAUCCAGUCCCUUUUUUGCUUCGUUCUGGGGAUGUGUGGACAAGUAGUACAGGCCGAGAACCUGGUGACAGCAAGUCAUUUCAUUGCUUGAACACAUUACUGGACAACUGUGCUUUACCUCUCCCCGGGGCAUCCCAGAAAACUCUCCAGUCCAAGUUCCCUGGCACAUAGGAAUUUUAUGGCCCUUUAGUAAAGUUCAGCAUCAUUUAUGACAGUUCUAAGACAUGUUUGAUGCCUCUGGCCCUCCCACACCACAGUCAUUCUGGACUUGCUUAUUGUUCUAAACCUCUAAGCACAACAUCCCUCUCUUUGGUUCUCAUCCACAGUAGUAAGUCAGUUGCCAUCGCUGAUCCACAAAUUGCCCAUCCCUAUGGCAUCAGAUCCAGAUCACAUCUUUAUGUCGGAGCAAUCAGUGAGAGCGUGAGUGUCUCAGUGAAUUCCCCAGUGGAAGCCGGGAUACUGGGACCCAAUCUGCUUCUUUCCCUUUGAGAGUUCUUUGGCACACUGUGAGUGUGCUUCGAUGCCUUGUGAGCUUUAUUAGUGGUUUUGCCCUGAGCAAUUUUCCAUGGGGUUAGUGAGACGUGGAAUCUGUUGAUGUUCUCUGAAGACAUGCUGGAGUAAACACACAUACACAGAAUAUGAUUUUUGAGGAUAGAUUUAUUGAGUGCUUGGCAUUUGCUCCGUGAGAACUAGAAAGCAUUCUUGAGAUCUGAAACCAGGUUGUGCGCAUUGAACACAUCUCUGCACAUCAUUCUAAGGAGGAUAAUGGCACUGCUUAUUAGUUCGGGUAUGAAUCUGACUGCAAGGUGGCUUUUCAUUCACUCUCUGUAUGUUGUUGUUUGAGUCAGGAUUAGAUACAGCAAUUUGCUGCUUAAAGCCUCACCUAUCUGUAAACAAACACACCUGAAUUUUGUUUACCUUUCCACAAAAAGAGUACACUAAGCAUUGCGAUGCUAGCCUUGUCUACAGAGUGAGUUCCAGGACAGCCAGGGCUACACAAGAAACCUGUCUUGGAAAAAAAUGCAGAGGCAGUGAGGUGGUUCAGCAGGUAAAGGCACUUGCCACUAAGUCUGACCUCAAGUUGCCUUCUGACCUCCACACAAAUGCUAUGGUUCUCUCUCUCUCUUUUUCCUCCUUCUCUCCCUCUCUCUCUCUCUCUCUCUCUCUCUCUCUCUCUCACACACACACACACACACACACACACACACACAUAAAGUAAAUAAUACAUUGUAAAGGACAUCACAAAUCACGUAUAUAUUUUUUGGAAGGACACACUAUUAAGUGAGAAAAUAUGAUUUAAUAAAGCUUCUCUAGCCUUCCAAGUGCCCCUGUUGAUUUUGAAUAUUUGAAACAAUAAAAGCAACAUAUGAAAAUAGUACUGAGCUGCUGUGUUCAUCAAUGUGGCCUAGAAAGACUAGAAAACAGAUUAUAAAUUGAUCCCAUAUCCCUAGUGUCCCAUCACUUAUGUUAGUUCAACCAUUGGUGUAUUUGUGGUCUCAUUCAA
Meriones unguiculatus (Mongolian gerbil) is the source of this 8792-nucleotide long non-coding RNA. RefSeq lists it as uncharacterized. The record is from RefSeq and is a predicted model, not a curated record. NCBI's taxonomy places the organism in Eukaryota, Metazoa, Chordata, Mammalia, Rodentia, Muridae. The transcript is spliced from 3 exons.